Molecule: ribosomal RNA, 845 nt
Filed under: Acinetobacter baumannii
Lineage: Bacteria; Pseudomonadati; Pseudomonadota; Gammaproteobacteria; Moraxellales; Moraxellaceae
Description: bacterial SSU rRNA
Rfam family: Bacterial small subunit ribosomal RNA
Source: RNAcentral
CGCGUAGGUGGUUAAUUAAGUCAAAUGUGAAAUCCCCGAGCUUAACUUGGGAAUUGCAUUCGAUACUGGUUAGCUAGAGUAUGGGAGAGGAUGGUAGAAUUCCAGGUGUAGCGGUGAAAUGCGUAGAGAUCUGGAGGAAUACCGAUGGCGAAGGCAGCCAUCUGGCCUAAUACUGACACUGAGGUGCGAAAGCAUGGGGAGCAAACAGGAUUAGAUACCCUGGUAGUCCAUGCCGUAAACGAUGUCUACUAGCCGUUGGGGGAUUUGAUCCUUUAGUGGCGCAGCUAACGCGAUAAGUAGACCGCCUGGGGAGUACGGUCGCAAGACUAAAACUCAAAUGAAUUGACGGGGGCCCGCACAAGCGGUGGAGCAUGUGGUUUAAUUCGAUGCAACGCGAAGAACCUUACCUGGCCUUGACAUAGUAGAGACUUUCCAGAGAUGGAUUGGUGCCUUCGGGAAUCUACAUACAGGUGCUGCAUGGCUGUCGUCAGCUCGUGUCGUGAGAUGUUGGGUUAAGUCCCGCAACGAGCGCAACCCUUUUCCUUACUUGCCAGCAUUUCGGAUGGGAACUUUAAGGAUACUGCCAGUGACAAACUGGAGGAAGGCGGGGACGACGUCAAGUCAUCAUGGCCCUUACGGCCAGGGCUACACACGUGCUACAAUGGUCGGUACAAAGGGUUGCUACACAGCGAUGUGAUGCUAAUCUCAAAAAGCCGAUCGUAGUCCGGAUCGCAGUCUGCAACUCGACUGCGUGAAGUCGGAAUCGCUAGUAAUCGCGGAUCAGAAUGCCGCGGUGAAUACGUUCCCGGGCCUUGUACACACCGCCCGUCACACCAUGGGAGUUU